RNAcentral lists this ribosomal RNA (467 nucleotides) under uncultured bacterium. Its description in RNAcentral is "partial 16S ribosomal RNA". It matches the Rfam family "Bacterial small subunit ribosomal RNA", at positions 28 to 507 of the family's 1533-position model. The record is from RNAcentral.
GAUGAACGCUGGCGGCGUGCUUAACACAUGCAAGUCGAACGGAAAGGCCCAAGCUUGCUUGGGUACUCGAGUGGCGAACGGGUGAGUAACACGUGGGUGAUCUGCCCUGCACUUCGGGAUAAGCCUGGGAAACUGGGUCUAAUACCGGAUAGGACCACUUCUUGGAUGUUGUGGUGGAAAGUUUUUUCGGUGUGGGAUGAGCUCGCGGCCUAUCAGCUUGUUGGUGGGGUAAUGGCCUACCAAGGCGUCGACGGGUAGCCGGCCUGGGAGGGUGUACGGCCACAUUGGGACUUAGAUACGGCCCAGACUCCUACGGGAGGCAGCAGUGGGGAAUAUUGCACAAUGGGCGCAAGCCUGAUGCAGCGACGCCGCGUGGGGGAUGACGGCCUUCGGGUUGUAAACUCCUUUCGCUAGGGACGAAGCGUUUUGUGACGGUACCUGGAGAAGAAGCACCGGCUAACUACGUG